AGUUUUGAACAAUUAUGCAUCAAUUACACAAACGUAAGCUACCAUAACUUUUCAACCAGAGCAAGAAGAAACGGAUCGAAGCUGGUAUACUAAUUUUGAUAAUCAAGCUCUCCUGUAGCUCAUUCAGAAGGUUCAUCUCUCAUCCUUAGAAUUUUGAUCUUCGGGUUUUAUUAGCUCUUCUACUCAGUCUUUUGCAGUUGAUUUCUCUUCAUUUUAAAAGCUUAUGGAAAAGUUUUUCACUUGAUUUCCACAUAAAUAUUCUACACACAGAAGGUUCACUAUGAGGUUCAGCCUAACCUAUUUGUAGGGGAUUCAAUCAAUACUAACUUUAUCUUCUUUUUUAUCCUCCAGAGAGGUGAAGUGAUAAUACCAAAGUAAUUGGCUGGAUAAAAUUUAUCUUACAUGCUUUUUCUGAGAGAAUAAUAUAAUAUAUUAACAAGGGAAACAAUACUAGAAAAUUGAGAUCUCCUAUUGAAAGGAAAAUUAUGGUAGGUCCUUGACAUUGCAAUCGAAAUUGACAGAAAAUAGCUCGGAAUUAAUUUGUACUACAAUUUAAACAGUGAAAUUCAUUUACUGGCUACAAUGGGAAUUACAGUGCUGAACCCCAAGCACUUUGAGAGGCUCCCAAAAUUACUCUUCCAAAUUCUACCUAUUCCUCAUCUCCAUAAUACUUCCCUUGUGUGUAUGUGUGUGUGUUUUUCACACCCCCCCCCCCCCCCCCCCCCCCCCCCCCCCCCCGUCCAAAUAAAAGAUACAAAAAAGGUGGUCAACUACUCGAAAGGCCUCCAAUCGAACAAAUUUAGACUAAUGGAUAAUUACAAAGAAAGCUGUUAGGCCUCCGAUCAUCUUACAAUAUCAAAGGAGGGGUAAAAAGGGAAUGGCUUGUUCGUGAGAGCAUAGCAUCUACAUCCAAUAAUAAUAGAGUGGGGCACCACAGUUAAGUUAGGGGGAAGAAGUGAGAGUAUAUGCGGGGAGGGAAGUAGGGAAGUAUAGUUUUCACUUUGGUAGUUUCUUCUAGAGAGUGAGGGAGGGGAUCCCAAGCUUCUGUAUGGGUUGGAGUGUAAUUGCCCUUGGGGCAAGUUCUUUUGAUUGAAUAAGACUUCCAUAGAUCGAUUCCUAUCAAAAGCUUUGUUGCUGAACCCUGCAUAGAAAAAUUAAAUCUAAUAAGGGACCAAAUAUCACUUGGAGAACACUCAAGCCAUUUAGAAGAAAUUCUAUUGUUCCUCUCACCCAUUAGCCCCAGAAAACAGCACAUACUAUUUUAAACAGAGAAUAUUACUCAAGAUGAACAAAAAAACAGCCUAAGGGCAGGGGUUGAGGUAAACUUCUGAGUUCUUUGAUCAGUUAUGAGACAAAUAUCAUGUUAAACUUGGUAUUUUUGUGAUCACCGAACUUAUUGGACGGUUGGCUCUCGCCUCUCACAUAUUAAAUACAGUCUGUCCAAUGUGGUUACCACAUGGCCAUCAGAUAUAUGCUGUCUUCUGAAUUUUCAUAUUAGGUGAGUUCUUAUACCUGCUGCCACAAUGAACACCGAACAAGUAUUCGACUCAUCUUGGUUGCAGUCAGGAGCAAUAUAAGAGGAACACUGGGAACAGCUGUGGUUGAAGUAAGAAGUGAGCAAAGUUGUAGCAGUAAAUGAAGGCACUGAUGAAAGGAGAGGUUUUAACAUUCAAGCGCUUGAUAUUAAAUAUGCUGAUAGCUAGACUAAGAGCUAAUGAGGGAGAAAGGGUAUGCUGAAAUGGAGAGAUUAAGGAUAGGAAAGUCAGAAGGAACUGAAAAAUGCAACUUCAGGACUCUUAAAACAGGAUGAGGCUGCAAGAAGCUUUGAAAACCGAGUGAAUUCUUCCGGAGAAUUUUCUUCUGAGACCAAGAGAUUCUAGAAGUUGGACGCUUGGUUUACAAGGUAAUGUAAGCUGACUGGAUACUGUUCUGAAAGAGGAGAUAAUAUAUGACAUAUUUGAGUUAGAAAACAUCAUGAGGUAAAAUUUUGUAUUUGGAUCAAUGGAGUUCAAAAAGAGUAAGGAAUUCCUCAAUAUUCUCGUCUCCAAAGUACUUUUCAAAGGAAAUGUUGGAGGAGAUGGAUAUCUUCUCAUCCACUGCACUUAUAUCUACAGACGCUGAUGUGAGCUUCUGAACUUUAGAUUUGUAUGUUGCUUAGGAGUUCUAGGAACAACCUUUACCAACUGUUGUGGUGUACCCUCUUUGAGAGGGGAACUCUGAUUCUCUGGUUUUUAAUGUAUACUUUAGAAAAUUUAAGAGUAUCACUUUUGAACACGCGGAAACUUCAGAUAAA
Non-coding RNA from Benincasa hispida (wax gourd), 2293 nucleotides. Lineage: Eukaryota; Viridiplantae; Streptophyta; Magnoliopsida; Cucurbitales; Cucurbitaceae. The record is from RefSeq and is a predicted model, not a curated record.